This is a non-coding RNA of Phascolarctos cinereus (koala), 914 nucleotides long. The record is from RefSeq and is a predicted model, not a curated record. Lineage: Eukaryota; Metazoa; Chordata; Mammalia; Diprotodontia; Phascolarctidae.
CACCAAACUCUCCCUCAUCAGAAACACAAUCCUCAACUGCAGGUCCCAUGGGGCUGACCUGAUAGGGAAUGACUGAAGUUCUUAAUAUGUUGCUGGGCACACAGGUCUCAAGAGCUAUGUAAUCUAAAAAAUGGUGCCUGAGAAUGCAAGAUCCAAGUCAGAGAUGACUUCAAUUUAAUUCCACAGAUGCUAAGCACCUACUUUGUGUAAAACCCUGAGACUUGGUCUCUAAGUGUGAGAGGCAUGGCAAGGAAGAGGGAUGUCCCAUUGAUCACCCGAACAGAGUAGCUAUUCUGGAGCCACUCAGCUGGUAAAGUCAUUUUCCACAAAGCUGCACUCCUUUGGACUGAACUGUAUCACACCCCCCAGGACCUCAUCAUCCUUCAAGAUGACAUCAGCCUUGGUACUCAUACUUCAACAGUACCCUGCCCCCUGAUUCUCAGGCUGGCAUCUCAGCUCCAGAUCAGCAACAAAUCAAAAGGCUCAUCUUCACAAGCUAAGAAGACCAAAACAAGACCUGGACAGUCGCUGAACACCAUAUGAGGAUUGCAUUACCAGAACAGAGUGCUCAUGCUUAUAAGGGUUGGGCUUGUCCAAUCACCCAUUAUACAGAACAAGACUUAUGUCUAGAAUAGACAUACUGCACAGGCGGCAAAUGAGUCCUAUGGAUCUCAGAGACAUCAAGGAAAAAAAAAGGUUUUUUGGAUCAUUGCAAAUAUAUGAUAGCCUCAAAAAUAUUUUCUUAUCCUAGCCUGGAGGGACCUCAAACAGUUAUCUAAUUCUUGUUCCCUUUACUUUCAAACUAGCAUACUGUAUGUCAUGGAAGAAGACUCCAAAAUCUCCUUGUAAAGCAUUCCAGUGCCCUUUUGAUCUCUGAUUCUCAUUCUACAGUGGCAGAAAUGUCAAAGAUCCAA